UACGAAGGGGGCUAGCGUUGUUCGGAUUAACUGGGCGUAAAGCGCACGUAGGCGGCUUUUUAAGUCAGGGGUGAAAUCCCGGGGGCUCAACCCCCGGAACUGCCCUUGAAACUGGAGAGCUAGAAUCUUGGAGAGGCGAGUGGAAUUCCGAGUGUAGAGGUGAAAUUCGUAGAUAUUCGGAAGAACACCAGUGGCGAAGGCGACUCGCUGGACAAGUAUUGACGCUGAGGUGCGAAAGCGUGAGGAGCAAACAGG
Molecule: ribosomal RNA, 255 nt
Filed under: uncultured bacterium
Lineage: Bacteria
Description: partial 16S ribosomal RNA
Rfam family: Bacterial small subunit ribosomal RNA
Source: RNAcentral